Molecule: ribosomal RNA, 388 nt
Filed under: Sulfitobacter sp. Asnod3A04
Lineage: Bacteria; Pseudomonadati; Pseudomonadota; Alphaproteobacteria; Rhodobacterales; Roseobacteraceae
Description: bacterial SSU rRNA
Rfam family: Bacterial small subunit ribosomal RNA
Source: RNAcentral
CUAGCNNUGCCGCGUGUGUGAUGAAGGCCUUAGGGUCGUAAAGCACUUUCGCCAGAGAUGAUAAUGACAGUAUCUGGUAAAGAAACCCCGGCUAACUCCGUGCCAGCAGCCGCGGUAAUACGGAGGGGGUUAGCGUUGUUCGGAAUUACUGGGCGUAAAGCGUACGUAGGCGGAUCAGAAAGUAGGGGGUGAAAUCCCAGGGCUCAACCCUGGAACUGCCUCCUAAACUCCUGGUCUUGAGUUCGAGAGAGGUGAGUGGAAUUCCAAGUGUAGAGGUGAAAUUCGUAGAUAUUUGGAGGAACACCAGUGGCGAAGGCGGCUCACUGGCUCGAUACUGACGCUGAGGUACGAAAGUGUGGGGAGCAAACAGGAUUAGAUACCCUGGUAG